UGGGGAGUUCCCUGGCGGUCCCAGUGUUUAGGAAUUGGCAGUUUCAACUGUGGUGGCCCAGGUUUGACCGCUGGUCGGGGAACUAAGUCCCACAAGCCAUGCGGCACGGCCAAAAAAUAAAAUUAAUUAAAAUGGAGGUUGGUACAUGAGACAGGUGAUGGUGAGAUCCCUUUGACUGUUUUGGAGAACAAGCCUUACAUUUGUCCACAGGCUUAUCACCUUUUAGAGUUGCCGCCAUUUCAAAGAUCUAAGCUCCUCUGUAGCUCAACGAAUUGAGACGUGAUUUAGCCUCAUCAUUCAUUCUCUCCUGGGGCUGGGGCCCUUGUCCUCUAUUUCCAUUCCUAGGGUUCUUUCCCUUGAUCCAAUAAUGAUGUAUACAGCUUAAAAACAGUCCUGCUUAUAAGGAAGAAAAAAAAAAGUGGAAAUUUGCCAUGGAGUGGCUGUCCCAUAAUUGAAUUUCCAAACUCUGGGUGUGUGAGUAACUCACUACAACAAAUAUAUUUCUGAGCACUGGCACUGUUGUAGACACAGAAUAUGCUGGUGAACAAAACAUGCAAAGUAGUGGCCUUUUCACAGGAUGGAUUCAGGACAGAUGCUCCUCAGUAAAGCAUCAGAAAUAGAUUCUUCUUCAACUCGGAGUGCAGCUCUCUUCCACUUCUUGUGAAUUGCACGUCCUAUCAUGGCAGUCACGGCGUCUUUCCCAGUGAAAUCGUCCGUCUGGGUUCCCGAAUGGGCUGCCCAAGCCUGCCCUGAGGACCAGGUGCUGAACUCACCUUUCAGAGGUUGGCAUUCCAGGGUGUCAAGCCUGCAGACCAGAUGCAUCCUCCAAGUUGGAACGAGGGGAAGAACCGUGGCCAAUAGAAGAUGAAAACCGCAGUUGAACCUGUUCAGCAUCUCUGCCUAUUUCUUCCACCUGCCUUGCUACAAGAUUCUACCUUCCUGCUCUUACUCCAAAGAUCUUUGAAGGGACCUUCCUUGUGGUGCAGUGGUUAAGAAUCCUCCUGCCAGUGCAGGGGACACGGGUUCGAGCCCUGGUCCAGGAAGAUCCCACAUGCCACAAAGCAACUAAGCCCGUGUGCCACAACUGCUGAGCCCACGGCCACAACUACUGACGCCCGUGCACCUAGAGCCCGUGCUCAGCAACAAGAGAAGGUACCACAAUGAAAGGCCUGUGCACCGCAAUGAAGAGUAGCCCCUGCUCGCCGCAACUAGAGAAAGCCUGCACACAGCAACGAAGACCCACUGCAGCCAAAAAUAAAUUAAUUAAUUUUUUUUAAAAAAAGAAAAGUGAUUUUUGAAUUCAGCAGUUUUCUAACUAGUGCAUCUUCCUGCUUCGUUGGGAAAUAGUGAUUUCCCUUCCUGACAUUUAACCCCACGUUAAAUGCUGUACCCACACCAUAACUUGAUCUCUGUGUGUUUAUAUGGUUUCUUAGCUUCUUGCUAUAGAUUAAGUGUUGGGGUCCCCCCAAUCAUGUGUUGAAACCCUAACCACAAGGUGAUGGUAUUAGGAGGUGGGCCCUUUGAGAGGUGAUUAGGUCAUGAGGACCCAGAGAGAGCUCUUGUCCCUUAUCCCAUAUGAGGUGGGGGCUAGAAGGCGCUGUCUAUGAGGAAGCAGGCCCUCACCAGGCACCAAAUCUACUAGCGUCUUGAUCAUGGACUUCUUAGCCUCUGGAACCAUGAGAAGUAAAUUUCUGUC
RNAcentral lists this long non-coding RNA (1696 nucleotides) under Delphinapterus leucas (beluga whale). RNAcentral describes it as "lncRNA (ENSDLEG00000006026.1)". Lineage: Eukaryota; Metazoa; Chordata; Mammalia; Artiodactyla; Monodontidae. The record is from RNAcentral.